This 285-nucleotide long non-coding RNA is filed under the name Mytilus galloprovincialis (Mediterranean mussel). The record is from RNAcentral. Lineage: Eukaryota; Metazoa; Mollusca; Bivalvia; Mytilida; Mytilidae.
UAAACUUUAAUUGUGAACUUCGAAACGAGGAAAUAUUGUUGAAAUGCCAGUAUAGUAUGCUAUGUAAUGGAACAAAGAAAUGGACAGGAGGAGUUGAUGGUCUUCUGAUCUUUAAUGGAGGGGUUAAGGAGACGCAGAGUGGAAAAAUAUUUGAAUAUGUUGACAGCAAUUCUGGUGAUUGGUUUGGAUUGGCAAUCAAGAAUUGGACAAAAGCUGAUGUUUUCGCACAAUAUACUUGUUGGAUGACAUUUGAGAAAAAUUAUUUAGAUCUUUUUGAACAACCUA